AACGAACGCUGGCGGCGUGCUUAAGACAUGCAAGUCGAGCGAGAAAGCCACCUUCGGGUGGUGAGUAAAGCGGCGCACGGGUGAGUAACGCGUGGAUAAUCUACCUGUAGGUCUGGGAUAACUCCGGGAAACUGGGGCUAAUACCGGAUAAGACCACGGGGUCCUCGGAUCUUGCGGAAAAAGGUGGCCUCUUCUUGAAAGCUACCGCCUAUCGAUGAGUCCGCGUCCCAUUAGCUUGUUGGUGAGGUAAAGGCUCACCAAGGCUUCGAUGGGUAGCUGGUCUGAGAGGAUGAUCAGCCACACUGGAACUGAGACACGGUCCAGACUCCUGCGGGAGGCAGCAGUCGGGAAUUUUGGGCAAUGGGGGAAACCCUGACCCAGCAACGCCGCGUGAGGGAUGAAGGCCCUCGGGUCGUAAACCUCUGUCGGAAGGGAAGAAAGGUCUCCGUUCGAAUAAAGCGGGGGCUUGACGGUACCUUCAAAGGAAGCACCGGCUAACUCCGUG
RNAcentral lists this ribosomal RNA (505 nucleotides) under uncultured bacterium. Its description in RNAcentral is "bacterial SSU rRNA". It matches the Rfam family "Bacterial small subunit ribosomal RNA", at positions 29 to 507 of the family's 1533-position model. The record is from RNAcentral.